This 267-nucleotide long non-coding RNA is filed under the name Glycine max (soybean). RNAcentral describes it as "long non-coding RNA (GMAX_LNC001845)". Lineage: Eukaryota; Viridiplantae; Streptophyta; Magnoliopsida; Fabales; Fabaceae. The record is from RNAcentral.
GUUGAUUAGAACAAUUCAAUAUAAGUUGAUUCACAUGGUGAAUGAUCUCUCUUCUUUCCUUUAGAUGUGUAUUUCACACACUACUCUUAUAACAAGACAAAACUUUAUCUCUAUAACUAAAAUGACCUUUUUAUUUUUUUAUAUUUAAUUAUCUGUAUACCCAUUUUAAUUUAUUUUAUUUUAUCUCUAUUUUUAAAUUGAAUUUAAAGAAAUUGUUAAAAGUUAAAAAUAUGUAUUUUGUAACUAUUUAAAAAGGCAUAGUAGUCG